AGAAACUUAGGUUGACCUUAAACCAGAGGCCUUCAAAGCCUCAGACAGGGCUUACCACCCCUAGUUUCUG
Molecule: transfer RNA, 70 nt
Filed under: Eremias argus
Lineage: Eukaryota; Metazoa; Chordata; Lepidosauria; Squamata; Lacertidae
Description: tRNA-Trp
Source: RNAcentral